RNAcentral lists this long non-coding RNA (436 nucleotides) under Chinchilla lanigera (long-tailed chinchilla). RNAcentral's name for it is "lncRNA (ENSCLAG00000025790.1)". The record is from RNAcentral. Lineage: Eukaryota; Metazoa; Chordata; Mammalia; Rodentia; Chinchillidae.
GCAACGCAUAGGACAGCCCCAACUGGGCUGACUCACUGUCAAAGUUUGAUCUCCUGCUCUAGAGGCGUAUGUGAUCCCUCCAGAGAAGUUAUGUGAUAUAAUUGCUGUGCACAGGGAUCUCUCUGGGAGAAUAUGAGGAUGGCUAUCUCUGAAAAGGAGAACUGAAGAUUGAAAUAAAAGAACAAACUUGCUGGUGUCCACAAUACUCAUUUUUAAAACAGGCUUGACUACCUCAUCUGUGAGUUGCCAACUCCAGAGGUACAAAAGCAAGACAGAUACUGAGCCAUGUGAUUUGGACAGAAUCUCUAACACACUGCAUCUUAAAUCCUGACAAAAAGGAAAAUUAAGCUCUUUCUACCAUGCCAAAACCUGCAGUUGCUGAACCCACCAAAGUGUGAGAAGGGGUGGAGACAGGAUAAAUAUUCCAGGCCAAGGG